This 1104-nucleotide long non-coding RNA is filed under the name Coturnix japonica (Japanese quail). RNAcentral's name for it is "lncRNA (ENSCJPG00005002218.1)". Lineage: Eukaryota; Metazoa; Chordata; Aves; Galliformes; Phasianidae. The record is from RNAcentral.
AUGCACUGUGAGGAAGGAGAGCAGGGGGUUCUCCUGUGCCCUCAGCACGUUUCUCUCCCUGCAGGCGCCUUGCUGAAGAUGCUGCAGUCCAGCAUAUUGCUCACGCUUGGACAAACAGCUUGCUCGCCUCAGUGCGCCGCACAGAAAAGACGUGGCACAAACAACCGGUGCCUGUGCAGUGACAAUCUGCCCACCAGCCGCAGAGCACCACCAGAGCGGCCCCUGCCAGGCCUGACGGCUGUCGGGCUCAGCUGCCCCCAGUGCAGCCCCCGUAGCCCACCAGCCCAGGCUCCGUGGCCCCUGGGAAGUACAUCAUGCCCAGUGGCCCCUAUCCACCUUGGGCAUCAACACCUCUUUCAGGGGACAGGAGGGACCCACCUGGUUUGGAAGCUUGCAGUCAUCGGCUGGCACCCAAACAGCAGCACCCUGGCAUCAACACCACCCUCCUGUCCCCCACCACCAUCCUUCAGGGGUUGGCAGUGGCUCCCUCAAAGUGUCACCCGCAGGCAGCCACUGCCUCAGGGAAGCUUGAGAGGCCUGUCAGCCUCCAGCACCAUCUCUGCCCUCACCCUCCCCUCCACCAUCCAUCAGGGGAUGGAAGCGACCCCAGCAGAGUAUAGACCUGGGGACAUCAUCCAACAGACGGACGACCAUUGCCUGGGGGAAGCCAACUGGCCCAGCAGCCCCCUGUCCCCCCCAGGAACUGUCACCAACUUUCCUUCACCAUCCUUCAGGAGGUUGGAGCAGCCCCCACAGGGUGGCAGUUUGAGGGCAUCAUCCGACACCCAGAAAACUACAGCCAGGGGAAAGCAUACCAGGCCCCACAGCUCCCAGCCCCCCACAGCACCAACUCUGCCCUCCCGCUCCUCUCCUCCAUCCUUCAGGAUGUGGGAGUGCCCCCCCCCACAGGGUCGGCAUGGGGGCAACACCUGUAAAACCUCUGCCUGGAAAAAGUAUGACAGGCCCAGCAGCCCCAAGAUCCCCCCAGCACCACCUCUCUCUUCAUGCUCCUCUCCACCAUUGGUCAGGGGGUGGGAGCAUCAUCACUGGUCAACACAACAGGGGGUUCUUUCUUUAACAUCCUUAUUACACCUUCCGAACUGA